This 211-nucleotide ribosomal RNA is filed under the name uncultured bacterium. RNAcentral describes it as "partial 16S ribosomal RNA". It matches the Rfam family "Bacterial small subunit ribosomal RNA", at positions 524 to 734 of the family's 1533-position model. The record is from RNAcentral.
UACGGAGGGGGCAAGCGUUAUCCGGAAUUACUGGGCGUAAAGCGUCCGCAGGCGGUCUAUUAAGUCAGAUGUGAAAGCCCCCAGCUUAACUUUGGAAUUGCAUCUGAAACUGGGUAGCUAGAGUCUUGUAGAGGGAGAUAGAAUUCCAUGUGUAGCGGUGAAAUGCGUAGAGAUCGGGAAGAAUACCAGUGGCGAAGGCGGGCUCCUGGGC